This 702-nucleotide ribosomal RNA is filed under the name Streptomyces sp. Its description in RNAcentral is "bacterial SSU rRNA". It matches the Rfam family "Bacterial small subunit ribosomal RNA", at positions 62 to 779 of the family's 1533-position model. The record is from RNAcentral. Lineage: Bacteria; Bacillati; Actinomycetota; Actinomycetes; Kitasatosporales; Streptomycetaceae.
UCGAACGAUGAAGCCGCUUCGGUGGUGGAUUAGUGGCGAACGGGUGAGUAACACGUGGGCAAUCUGCCCUGCACUCUGGGACAAGCCCUGGAAACGGGGUCUAAUACCGGAUACGACGCGGGAAGGCAUCUUCUCGUGUGGAAAGCUCCGGCGGUGCAGGAUGAGCCCGCGGCCUAUCAGCUUGUUGGUGGGGUGAUGGCCUACCAAGGCGACGACGGGUAGCCGGCCUGAGAGGGCGACCGGCCACACUGGGACUGAGACACGGCCCAGACUCCUACGGGAGGCAGCAGUGGGGAAUAUUGCACAAUGGGCGAAAGCCUGAUGCAGCGACGCCGCGUGAGGGAUGACGGCCUUCGGGUUGUAAACCUCUUUCAGCAGGGAAGAAGCGCAAGUGACGGUACCUGCAGAAGAAGCACCGGCUAACUACGUGCCAGCAGCCGCGGUAAUACGUAGGGUGCGAGCGUUGUCCGGAAUUAUUGGGCGUAAAGAGCUCGUAGGCGGCUUGUCACGUCGGAUGUGAAAGCCCGGGGCUUAACCCCGGGUCUGCAUUCGAUACGGGCAGGCUAGAGUUCGGUAGGGGAGAUCGGAAUUCCUGGUGUAGCGGUGAAAUGCGCAGAUAUCAGGAGGAACACCGGUGGCGAAGGCGGAUCUCUGGGCCGAUACUGACGCUGAGGAGCGAAAGCGUGGGGAGCGAACAGGAUU